GGGGCUGUGGCUCAGUGGUAGAACACUAGCCUGGCAUGUGUGAGGCCCUGGGUUCGGUCCUCAGCAACACCA
Molecule: transfer RNA, 72 nt
Filed under: Ictidomys tridecemlineatus (thirteen-lined ground squirrel)
Lineage: Eukaryota; Metazoa; Chordata; Mammalia; Rodentia; Sciuridae
Description: Spermophilus tridecemlineatus (thirteen-lined ground squirrel) tRNA
Rfam family: tRNA
About the family: Transfer RNA (tRNA) molecules are approximately 80 nucleotides in length.
Source: Rfam by way of RNAcentral